Molecule: long non-coding RNA, 4206 nt
Organism: Cyprinodon tularosa
Lineage: Eukaryota; Metazoa; Chordata; Actinopteri; Cyprinodontiformes; Cyprinodontidae
Exons: 2
Source: RefSeq, a predicted model, not a curated record
UGAUGCCUUAAUAUAAUUACAUCUCACAGUAAAAAUAAAACUUAGCUAAUGUUUUGGAGAUUUUUGUUUAUUUCUAACCAAACUUUUCACUGUGGAUGUUAGCAAGAUAAACUCUGGAUUUCUUGCAGCCUAUCUUUAUGUUGCAGUUCAAACUCUUUUAAGCUUUUUUGAUGAUGCUUUAGCUGUAGAUAUUUGGGUCAUUAUAAUGGUAAAGGUUUCUCAAUAGCAAUAUUCAAGCCCAAUUUUUAGUUCAAUGAAAAUAUUUCUCUCUAAUAAAAGAGAAAAAUAUUACCCAUCACUAAAAAAAAAUGUCCAAUGGUUACUUAUAGCACAAACCACAAAUAUUAAUGAUAUUAAAUAGUAAUAAUACUUUAUUAAGUGUAUUUUUUGAAUAGCAAAGGGGACAAGAUAAGAGGGGUAUUGAUUCAAUGUUUUUGUAAGCAUUCUUCAUUUACAAUGUAAACAAUAUUCAGUGCAGGUUUAUGGUCUUUUUGUUCUUUAACUGUUUCUUACCCAAAUACGACAGCCUGCAGCUUGAUUUCGCUGCAUAAUUUCACGCCUCGGUAGGGGAGGGUCAGACUAAAGUGGCUGUCAGUUGGUGGCUAAUAUCAGAAUGAGUCAGCACUAUUCACUAUGUUUGGGUUCACAAACAAGGUCUCUGACUUUAGCUUAUCAUUACUCGUAACAUAAUCAGCAUAGCCAACAACAAAAUAAAACAAUUUGUACAAGUGGGCAUUUUUUGGCUGCAAAUGCAUAAAAAGAGGAAGGCAAGUUGUAGUUUUGCAAACACCUUAAGAGUUCUGGGAUAUUAUUUUCAUAGCACAGCAUAGUGUACGAAGUAUAAGAUCUAAACAGUUGAUUUUAUAUAAUGCUGUUUACUAUGUCACUGUUGCAGAUGUAGAAUUUUCAGUGACAUGCUGAGAUUGGAAAGUUUGAACCUUGAUCAUUGAGGUGAGCCUCUGCAUGUACUGUAGUGGACUGCGUUUCUGCAGCACUGAUAUGCGAAGUUGUACGCCAACUUGGGACAAUGAAAAUGGCUGAAUUAGGAUUAAUUCUGCACUAAAUAGUAUAUUUAAAACAUUUAAGAAUGUCUUUUGUAGGUUGAUUAUAUUUAAAUGUUUAUUCUAGCAAUCAUAGUAGAAAUGGAACAUGAACCAUGGAUCAACACAUAUCUUUUAUUUAAAUUUUCUCUUUCUUACUUCCUAUUUAUACACCUAAGAACCAUUUUUGUUCCUCUCUGGUCAACUUAAAAAAAUAAAAUAAAAAUCUAAUUAAGUUUAACUGCUUUUAUAGGUAUUUAUAACCUGAUUGUUUAAGAUUUGUUAAAAAAUGUACAUUUUAUUUGCCCCUAAAUUAUUUUAGUACAGGAAAAGAAUAACAUGUUAAUGCUUUUUAAUAACUGAUUUACCAGGGUUGCCAAUAAAUAUGUGGGGUGCUGUAAAUCACUUAUUCCUGCAUUUGAGUGCCUGAUUAGGUUUUAGAGGAGUUAUAUCUGUUUUUUUAUAUUAAGAUUAAAGCCUGUUUAGGAAAAAGGUAAUUUUUGGGAACCAUUGAUUUAAAAAAACAAUGCUGGUAGACAUUUCAGUUUAUCUUACUUUUUCCAUAUAGACUAGACUCUUUUUCAAAUAGCCAGAUGCUAUUACAGGCAGUAAACAAUAAAAUAUUAAUAUUUUGUUCUUGUUUCUCUUAGUUCAAACAACCUCAAACUUGAAACAAAAUGACCUUAAGCUAACCUUAAAAGUUUUGUGCUUGUUGAGUUUGUUCCAGUCAUUUCACAACACUUAAUGUUGUAAAUAAUUAUUAAAAAAUCUUAAAAAUUCUUAGGGUGGGAGAGGUAUUGCUAUUUAUUUCUAAGUUUAUAUUAAUACUGAUAUUUUUAGUCAGUGACUAAAACUGCGACGCUGCCGUGGCAGCAUGAGGAGUAUUUUUUUGUAAGGAAAGCCGCCUUUAUUUACAAAGGCCAUCACCCCGAACUUAAUAUUGUAUGUUUUUAUGGCCCGCACCUGUGCGUUAGUCUGUGCUGUCCUGUCUGAAUAAGACUUUCUUGUCCCGGGUUUCUUAAGUAGUUGUUUGCAGUGUGCAUCACAAGAGAAAAGAGACAUACUGAUCAUUGAGCUAAAAGGUUCCAGAGCGUUUUACAUUUUAUUGUAUUACAACCACAAGCUUGAUAUUAUUAUCUCUAAUAGACCAACACACUGGAGUGCACAAUUCAAAUUUUACUUUGUGUUUUUAAAAGCAAGGAUUUUAGAAGUCUGGCUUGCAUUAGUAUGCAGGCCACCUGAUUGAAACAUUUUUAAAAAACCUUGUGCUGUUACAGCUUUCCAUAUGUCUCCACCGGUUUUUAACGUCUAAGGUAGAACUAUUUUGUCAUUGUUUUUUUUAGCAUGGCUCAAACUAACCCAGAUUAGACAUGAAGCAUCUCUUAGCAUUUUUCAAGUUAUUCCACAGAUUCCUAAUUAGAUAUAGACUUGAGCUUGUCCUACUGGUAGGAAAAAAUACAUCUCGCUUUUAACUUUCAUGCAGCCUGUUGUCUUUUUUUAUUAGAUUACUUUGCAUUUAGCACCAAUUUGAUCAAGUCUAACGAACUUCUUUUCUUUUCUUCUGUUACAAAGAAAGGCAUUGUCUAAGCAUGAUGCUACUCCACCAUGUGUCACCAUGUUGUAUUUUGCAUAUGGUUUUAUUUUGGUCUCAUCUCACCUGCCUGCACCAUUGGCAUAAAACCUAAAAUGAACUUUUAAAAAUGGGUUCUUGUCGAUCUUUCAAAAUGAGCUGAAUUUGCACAGUUUCCCCCCACUUUGUGUUGGUCUAGUACAUGAUAUGCCAAACAAAACAUUAGAAUUUAAUGUUGUAAUGUGACAGACUUGGAAAAAGUUUAUGAAUCUUGCAAAGGACUACAUCUAGUGUAAACAGUGACUAGAAACUGUCUCUACAAAAAACACUCUGGAAUAUAUGUGGCUCAAAGGAGAAACUGUGCUUUUUGGUGUUGUUUCUGAAUGGCAUUCAAUGGUUGUAGUUUUCAUGCUGUAACAAAAAAAGUGGAAUUUCAUAUAUUGUAUCUUUAGUGCAAAAACAACUAAUAAUUUAUUAGACUUGAUCUAUGGCACCUUGUCAGCUGUGUUCACAUUUAAAGUAAAUUUUCUCUCAUCAAGACAAUCUCUGGACAUUUAAAUCGACCUAAUCACACCCAGGUUGGCAACUAGACCUGAACGAGGAGUUUGGGCACAUAUUUGCUUUACCUUGAAAUCGGUGUCAUCUGAAGCCAAUUAGGUUUUCAAUCUGUGAUUGUCAGCAUUGUUUAGUCAUCACAGCAGCUAAAUGAGAGGUUUUGCACAGUCUAAUGAAGAGACAUUACUGUUCAUUAAUGUCAAGUUCACCUUGCCUCUCUGUCAGAUGGGAGGAUUAUAACUGCUGUCCCUCUUUCCCUUUCAAAUCUACUCUAUUUCUGAGGUUAAACAUCACUGAUAGUACCACCUUAUUCCAAACAGUCACAUUACGCAGUACUUAUUAUGGUGUAAGCUCAAUUAAAGGUUUGACUUAAAUGAUUUAAUUGUAACUAAAUGUGAAAGUCAUAUUUUGUAACAAGGGAUUAACAAAUGAAGAUGUACUGUACAUAGGUAUUUUGUAUGGACAUAUUGUUUAGAAAGGAAACCAUUCUUGUAAAUACAGAGGUGAUAAAUUGACAUUUUUAAGAGGUCAAAAUGAGUGAAUUUAGUGUUUUAUCAAUGAGAAGACAUGACCUGUUUCAGUAUUUUGGACUGCUGUGACAGCAACCGUUUCCUUUCGGUGUCCCAGAGAAUCCAGAUUGUUGUUGUUCUUGCUGGAAUGUAACGUUGAGCAUCAGUUGCACAAAGUUCUCUGAUUCAUGAUCCCCUACUGUUUUAUUUAGAGAGGCUCCCUGUGCCUUAGCUGAUUUUUAGAACCUUCUCUGUCCAUAAAAGCCAAUCUUUUUCUUUUUUUUUUCUCUUCUUUUUCUUUUGACCUUAUGUGAAGAAAGCCAUGAGUCUGUGAAGUGAUCCAUUGGUACUCUGACACCAAAAUGAUGUCUGCUGUUGUAUAUAUCAUCAGGCCUUCUUUUGCUGUUAUCAGCUUCUUUUCUUUUCUUUUUUCUUUAUUUUUUGUUAUUCUCUUUUGAGGAAUUUGUUUUGUCGAACUGGCUUGUUUUACUUUUCUCUGACUACUUUUUGGAAAUAAAAUCUUGCAAAAAAA